This 486-nucleotide ribosomal RNA is filed under the name Attacus atlas formosanus. RNAcentral describes it as "partial 16S ribosomal RNA". The stretch from base 1 to 163 matches the Rfam family "Archaeal large subunit ribosomal RNA", at positions 1890 to 2097 of the family's 2987-position model. The record is from RNAcentral. Lineage: Eukaryota; Metazoa; Arthropoda; Insecta; Lepidoptera; Saturniidae.
GCCUGUUUAUCAAAAACAUGUCUUUUUGUUAAUAAUUUAAAGUCUAAUCUGCCCACUGAUUUAAAAUUGAAGGGCUGCAGUAUUUUGACUGUACAAAGGUAGCAUAAUCAUUAGUCUCUUAAUUGGUGACUUGUAUGAAGGAUUGGAUGAGAUAUAAACUGUCUUAAAAAUAUUUAAUUGAAUUUAAUUUUUUAAUUAAAAAGUUAAGAUAAAUUAAAAAGACGAGAAGACCCUAUAGAGUUUUAUAUUAAUUUAAAUUAAAAUUAUUUAUAAAUUUAUUAGUAUAAAUUUAAUUUUGUAUUUUAUUGGGGUGAUAUUAAAAUAAAUUAAACUUUUUUUAAAAAUUUACAUAAAUAAGUGAAUUAUUGAUCCAAUUUUAUUGAUUAUAAGAAAAAAUUACCUUAGGGAUAACAGCGUAAUUUUUUUUUUUAGUUCUAAUAAAAAAAAGAGUUUGCGACCUCGAUGUUGGAUUAAGAUAAAAUUUAA